CAACGAGCGCAACCUGCUGGGCCUUAGAGAAAGCUGUGCCUGUGUGGAGGAAGGGGGCUGCUGUCACAUCCCACGGCUGUAAGCCAACCCCACGGAAGGGCUGGGUAGAACAAGGGGUACAUUUUUAAACGUCGAACACGAUUAGACUUUGGAACAACUUAAGGACCGUGGGAGAAGCCCCGUGCUUCGAGUUAGGCAGGAGGUCAGUCCGGAUAAUCACGCUGCCCCCUUCGGUUUCAUAGUGAAUAAUCAACUGAGAUUGCUUCUUUGUGGUGCUUCUUCCGGAGGGACGAAUACUGCCAUAUGCUCUGCGUGCUUCGUUCAGAGACGCUUAAAACUAUUCUUCCUGAGUGUGGCAAAACUUGAAAGAAAGCAAACCUAAAAGCCUGGAAUUUCAUCUGCAUGCCUACAGCAACUGGAUUCUAUCAGCAACUCACACUAUCAGGAAGAAGGCUUCAUCAGAUGAGAGCAGACCUCCUGCUCACUGCCUCUUAGGUAAUCAG
This 503-nucleotide long non-coding RNA is filed under the name Phasianus colchicus (ring-necked pheasant). RNAcentral's name for it is "lncRNA (ENSPCLG00000002177.1)". Lineage: Eukaryota; Metazoa; Chordata; Aves; Galliformes; Phasianidae. The record is from RNAcentral.